Molecule: small RNA, 791 nt
Filed under: Pan troglodytes (chimpanzee)
Lineage: Eukaryota; Metazoa; Chordata; Mammalia; Primates; Hominidae
Description: retained intron
Source: RNAcentral
GUGGUACCAGCAUCAGCCUUCUGCCUGCCCUGUCCUUGGCUGCUCCAGACCCAGGGCAGAGGAGCAGCUCCCAGCCCUCACCAGCCAUCUGCUCAGCGCCUGCCACCCUGACCCCCAGGUCCCCACACGCCAGCCGUACCCCCAGCUCCCCACUCCAGAGCUGCACUCCCAGUCUCUCACCCCGUAGCCAUGUCCCCAGUCCACACCAGGCUCUUGUGACCAGGCCCCAGAAACCUAGCCUGGAGUUCAAGGAGUUUGUAGGGUUGCCCUGCAAGAAUCGGCCGCCUUUUCCCAGGACCGGAGCUACCAAGGGAGCCCAGGAGCCCUGCUCUGUCUGGGUGAGCAUAGCCCCUCUGCAGCUGGAGGGUAGAACAAGGAAGGCCUGAGGUAGAGCUGGGAGGGAGCAUGGGUAGCCUUGGAUGGGGUUGGGGUCCUUGUUAGCUCUUCCCCAGACACCAUACCCCUUUCAGGAACCCCCAAAGAGGCAUCGUGAUGGUUCUGCCUUCCAGUAUGAGUAUGAGCCACCCUGCACGUCCCUCUGUGCUCGGGUCCAAGCUGCCAGGUGAGUGCCUGGGUCUGCCCCCACUCUUGGUCACUAGUCCCAGGCUCCAUUGACCUGCAGCGGUGGUUUCUUUCCAGGCUUCCUCCCCAGCUCAUGGCCUGGGCCUUGCACUUUCUGAUGGAUGCACAGCCAGGGUCUGAGCCAAAUCCGAUGUGAGACGUCACACAGGACAGAUACCGCUCCACACUCUGCUUCCUUUGAGUUUUUUAAUAAAAUAAUCUCAUGCGGC